This 770-nucleotide ribosomal RNA is filed under the name uncultured bacterium. Its description in RNAcentral is "bacterial SSU rRNA". It matches the Rfam family "Bacterial small subunit ribosomal RNA", at positions 29 to 814 of the family's 1533-position model. The record is from RNAcentral.
GUGAACGCGGGCGGCGUGCCUAACACAUGCAAGUCGCGCGGGAUUUUACAGAGUAUCGUAGAGUCUAGCGGCAAACGGGUGAGUAACACGUGGGAAACCUCCCUCAAAAUGGGGAAUAUCUCCGAGAAAUCGGAGUCAAUACCGCAUAAGACCACAGAUUGGCAUCAAUCAGAGGUUAAAGCAGUAAUGCGUUUUGAGAUGGUCCUGCGGCCUAUCAGCUAGUUGGUGGGGUAACGGCCUACCAAGGCUAUGACGGGUAUCCGGCCUGAAAGGGUGAACGGACACACUGGAACUGAGACACGGUCCAGACUCCUACGGGAGGCAGCAGUGGGGAAUUUUGGACAAUGGGCGAAAGCCUGAUCCAGCGACGCCGCGUGGAGGACGAAGGUCUUCGGAUUGUAAACUCCUUUUAGAGGGGAAGAAAAAAAUGACGGUACCCUCAGAAAAAGCCACGGCUAACUACGUGCCAGCAGCCGCGGUAAUACGUAGGUGGCGAGCGUUACUCGGAAUUACUAGGCGUAAAGCGUAUGUAGGUGGUUAGAUAAGUCUUUGGUGAAAUUUCUCGGCUCAACCGGGAAGCUGCCAAGGAUACUGUUUGACUUGAGUGUGGCAGGGGGAGACGGAAUUUCCUGGUGUAGCGUGAAAUGCGUAGAUAUCAGGAGGAACACCGAUGGCGAAAGCAGUCUCCUGGGCCAAUACUGACACUAAUGUACGAAAGCUAGGGUAGCAAACAGGAUAGAUACCUUGUAGUCCUAGCUGUAACGAUGUUC